CCCAACCCUCGUGGAAGGGGCGCUUUUAUUAGAUCAAAGCCAAUCGGGCCUUCGGGCUCGUUUAAUUGGUGACUCUGAAUAACUUUGCUGAUCGCAUGGUCUCGUACCGGCGACGUAUCUUUCAAGUGUCUGCCUUAUCAACUGUCGAUGGUAGGUUAUGCGCCUACCAUGGUUGUAACGGGUAACGGGGAAUCAGGGUUCGAUUCCGGAGAGGGAGCCUGAGAAACGGCUACCACAUCCAAGGAAGGCAGCAGGCGCGCAAAUUACCCACUCCCGGCACGGGGAGGUAGUGACGAAAAAUAACGAUGCUAAACUCAUACGAGGCUUAGCAAUCGGAAUGAGUACACUUUAAAUCCUUUAACGAGGAUCUAUUGGAGGGCAAGUCUGGUGCCAGCAGCCGCGGUAAUUCCAGCUCCAAUAGCGUAUGUUCAAGUUGCUGCGGUUAAAAAGCUCGUAGUUGGAUCUCGGUUUCGGGAGGGCGGUGCGCCCAGCGGCGUCUACUGUCCACCCGGACGAUUUUGUUGGUUCGUUCAUGGUGCUCUUAACCGGGUGCCUUGAGUGGCCAGCACGUUUACUUUGAAAAAAUUGGAGUGCUCAAAGCAGGCGCUACAGCCUGAACAAUUGUGCAUGGAAUAAUGGAAUAGGACCUCGGUUCUAUUUCGUUGGCUUUCGGAGUCGAGGUAAUGAUUAAUAGGGACAGACGGGGGCAUUCGUACUGCGACGUUAGAGGUGAAAUUCUUGGAUCGUCGCAAGACGAACUACUGCGAAAGCAUUUGCCAAGAAUGUUUUCAUUAAUCAAGAACGAAAGUUAGAGGUUCGAAGGCGAUCAGAUACCGCCCUAGUUCUAACCAUAAACGAUGUCGACUGGCGAUCCGUCCCCGUUAACUGAAUGACUGGACGGGCAGCCUCCGGGAAACCAAAGUCUUUGGAUUCUGGGGGAAGUAUGGUUGCAAAGCUGAAACUUAAAGGAAUUGACGGAAGGGC
RNAcentral lists this ribosomal RNA (984 nucleotides) under Heteromurus nitidus. Its description in RNAcentral is "SSU rRNA". It matches the Rfam family "Eukaryotic small subunit ribosomal RNA", at positions 182 to 1165 of the family's 1831-position model. Lineage: Eukaryota; Metazoa; Arthropoda; Collembola; Entomobryomorpha; Entomobryidae. The record is from RNAcentral.